GACGAACGCUGGCGGCGUGCUUAACACAUGCAAGUCGAACGGAAAGGCCCUGCUUUUGUGGGGUGCUCGAGUGGCGAACGGGUGAGUAACACGUGAGUAACCUGCCCUUGACUUUGGGAUAACUUCAGGAAACUGGGGCUAAUACCGGAUAGGAGCUCCUGCUGCAUGGUGGGGGUUGGAAAGUUUCGGCGGUUGGGGAUGGACUCGCGGCUUAUCAGCUUGUUGGUGGGGUAGUGGCUUACCAAGGCUUUGACGGGUAGCCGGCCUGAGAGGGUGACCGGCCAGAGUGGGAGAGAGAGACGGCCCAGACGCGGGGACGCGGAGGGAGUGGGAAGUAUCGCACGGGGGGCGGCAGGCGGAUGCAGGAAGGGGGCGGGCGGGAUGCCGGGCUGCGGGUGGGAAGAGGGUUUCGCGUGGGGAGGAGGGGGGGGGAGGGGAAUGAGAAAGGGGGGACCGGCGAACUACGGGGCGGCGGCGUCGGGAAUAAUGGGAGAAGCACCUGACUGAGC
Molecule: ribosomal RNA, 509 nt
Filed under: uncultured bacterium
Lineage: Bacteria
Description: partial 16S ribosomal RNA
Rfam family: Bacterial small subunit ribosomal RNA (bases 20-332)
Source: RNAcentral